CCUUUGACGUUAGCGGCGGACGGGUGAGUAACACGUGGGUAACCUACCUAUAAGACUGGGAUAACUUCGGGAAACCGGAGCUAAUACCGGAUAAUAUUUCAACCGCAUGGUUCGAUAGUGAAAGAUGGUUUUGCUAUCACUUAUAGAUGGACCCGCGCCGUAUUAGCUAGUUGGUAAGGUAACGGCUUACCAAGGCGACGAUACGUAGCCGACCUGAGAGGGUGAUCGGCCACACUGGAACUGAGACACGGUCCAGACUCCUACGGGAGGCAGCAGUG
This 278-nucleotide ribosomal RNA is filed under the name uncultured Staphylococcus sp. Its description in RNAcentral is "partial 16S ribosomal RNA". It matches the Rfam family "Bacterial small subunit ribosomal RNA", at positions 83 to 356 of the family's 1533-position model. Lineage: Bacteria; Bacillati; Bacillota; Bacilli; Caryophanales; Staphylococcaceae. The record is from RNAcentral.